GACUGAGACACGGCCCAGACUCCUACGGGAGGCAGCAGUAGGGAAUCUUCCGCAAUGGACGAAAGUCUGACGGAGCAACGCCGCGUGAGCGAUGAAGGCCUUCGGGUCGUAAAGCUCUGUUGUUAGGGAAGAACAAGUACCGGAGUAACUGCCGGUACC
This 159-nucleotide ribosomal RNA is filed under the name uncultured bacterium. RNAcentral's name for it is "partial 16S ribosomal RNA". It matches the Rfam family "Bacterial small subunit ribosomal RNA", at positions 317 to 479 of the family's 1533-position model. The record is from RNAcentral.